This 342-nucleotide long non-coding RNA is filed under the name Rattus norvegicus (Norway rat). RNAcentral's name for it is "long non-coding RNA NONRATT020605". The record is from RNAcentral. Lineage: Eukaryota; Metazoa; Chordata; Mammalia; Rodentia; Muridae.
GGCAGCAGGAACCUGCAUUCUUAAGGUUCCUAGCUAAAUUAACCAAGGUGGAGCAAAAGGCUCCUCCCCCAAGAAAUCAAGCUCUGGGAUUGGAGUUUGGGCUCAGCCUCCAGAUGGAGCCGGAAUUUACCUUUGUACUCCAGGCGGCCUGGGUUGGUGGUGCCUGGUUGGGUGUGUCCAGAACUGGCUGCCUUCCUGACACGUCUCAGAGCUGCUGGCAGGUUUGAAUCCAGGAUCAUUAAUGGCCCUGCUUACUGUCCCAUUCUCUCUUCUCCAGAUUUCUUACUCCCCCCAACCCCACUCGGGCCCUUCCCACAGAUGACUGUGCUUCUUGUAAAUCCU